RNAcentral lists this long non-coding RNA (1182 nucleotides) under Capra hircus (goat). RNAcentral describes it as "lncRNA (ENSCHIG00010016861.1)". Lineage: Eukaryota; Metazoa; Chordata; Mammalia; Artiodactyla; Bovidae. The record is from RNAcentral.
UAAACAACAAACUUUCAUUUCCACACUUCUGGAGGCUGGAAAUCCAAGAUCAAGGUGCUGGACAAAUUGGUUCCUGCUGAGAACACUCUUCCUAGUUUGCAGAUGGCUGGCUUCUUGUUGAACCUUCACAUGAUGGAGAGCAGAGAGAAGAAGGAAGCUCUCCUGUGUGCCUUCUUGUAAGGGUACUGUCCCACCCAUAAGGACUUCACCCCAUGAUCUAUUUACUUCCCAAAGGCCCUACCUCCUAAUAUCAUCACAUUGAAGGUUAGGAUUUCAACAUAUGAAUUUUAGAAGGGAUACAAACAUUUGGUCCAUAACAUUUCCAUAUAGAAAAACAAAAGAUGAAUAGUUUAAGUAACUUUCCAAAGAUUGUAAAGUUGAUAGGUAGUAAGGUCAGGGUUUCAAUCCAGGUGAGGUUCAUUCUAAGGCCCAUGUGCUGAAAUGUUUUGCUAACCUGUCUCAGUACAAGUCAGAGAAACUAAUAGGAGUUAACUGACUAAUAAUUAGACUAUGCUCUCUUGUCUAAUAGAAGAGAAAACUAAUAUGACUUGAUUAUAACCUCAAAACAUAAAAGACAUUCUCCGGCAGGAGUUUGAUCGAUUGUUUUCCAUAUAAAAAAGAGCAAAACCAGAGAGAACAGUAUUGAAAUAGGGUUUAUGUCAGGCAGACAAAAAGAGAAACUCUUAAUUGUUAGGUUGGUAAAGCCCAAAAUCAGACACAAAGAGAGAUUGUGGAGUUGUAGUAUCUGAGGAUCUGUAAAAUGAUCAUUUUCAAUUCGAUUUCAACAGCCAUCUCUUUUAAACAGUUUGAAAUCCACCUGCCAGAAGGUGAGGGAAUCAGAACAGAUGUGCUCUCCAGGCUCCAAUCAGCAAUAAGAUCCUGUGUGGGAGACCAAUUAAACCCACAGGCAUACGGUGGAGCCAGCGAUUCUGUUUUAGAACAGACUAUGACCUCUCCCCGACCCAGAGGAUAGCCGCAUCAGCACUUACAAGCCAAAUGAAUUAAGGCCCUGUCAGCAGUGUUCCUUACAAUAAAAAGUAUAACAAUAAUAGUAAUAAAAAGUAUCAAGACAUAAACCCACAUAUAGGAUGGUAUCUGGAGCACCCCUGGUAUUCAUGCAAAUAAGGGAAAUGAAAAUUCAAGCAAAUUAAAUCUGAAAUAGCAAGAGGGGCUUUCCUUGAA